Molecule: ribosomal RNA, 254 nt
Filed under: uncultured bacterium
Lineage: Bacteria
Description: partial 16S ribosomal RNA
Rfam family: Bacterial small subunit ribosomal RNA
Source: RNAcentral
UACGUAGGGUGCAAGCGUUGUCCGGAAUUAUUGGGCGUAAAGAGCUCGUAGGCGGUCUGUCGCGCCGAUCGUGAAAACUUGGGGCUUAACCCUGAGCUUGCGGUCGAUACGGGCAUGACUGGAGUUCGGCAGGGGAGACUGGAAUUCCUGGUGUAGCGGUGAAAUGCGCAGAUAUCAGGAGGAACACCGGUGGCGAAGGCGGGUCUCUGGGCCGAUACUGACGCUGAGGAGCGAAAGCGUGGGGAGCGAACAGG